GUGGCGCGGCUCAGUGGUAGAGCACUUGCCUUGCAUGCCUGAGGCCCUGGGUUCAAUUCCUCAGCACCACA
Molecule: transfer RNA, 71 nt
Filed under: Dipodomys ordii (Ord's kangaroo rat)
Lineage: Eukaryota; Metazoa; Chordata; Mammalia; Rodentia; Heteromyidae
Rfam family: tRNA
About the family: Transfer RNA (tRNA) molecules are approximately 80 nucleotides in length. Their secondary structure includes four short double-helical elements and three loops (D, anti-codon, and T loops).
Source: Rfam by way of RNAcentral